RNAcentral lists this small RNA (86 nucleotides) under Desulfuribacillus stibiiarsenatis. RNAcentral's name for it is "BsrC". It matches the Rfam family "BsrC". Rfam says of the family: The 301 nucleotide sequence from Kouji Nakamura has been trimmed to a highly conserved ~85 nucleotide long core to form this family. The record is from Rfam by way of RNAcentral. Lineage: Bacteria; Bacillati; Bacillota; Desulfuribacillia; Desulfuribacillales; Desulfuribacillaceae.
AACAAAUUAAACGAUGUAAGCCCUACCUCUCAAACAUUCUUACGGCUCCAAAGCCGAUCCAGGUGAAUAAUUAUCAAAUUGAACAU